This 253-nucleotide ribosomal RNA is filed under the name uncultured bacterium. RNAcentral describes it as "partial 16S ribosomal RNA". It matches the Rfam family "Bacterial small subunit ribosomal RNA", at positions 524 to 776 of the family's 1533-position model. The record is from RNAcentral.
AACGUAGGAGACAAACGUUAUCCGGAGUUACUGGGCGUAAAGGGCGUGUAGGUGGUAUCGUAAGUCUGGCGUGAAAUUUCUCGGCUUAACCGAGGCAGGUCGUCGGAUACUGCGAGGCUAGAGGACGGUAGAGGCGUGUGGAAUUCCUGGUGUAGCAGUGAAAUGCGUAGAUAUCAGGAGGAAUACCGAUGGCGAAGGCAGGUCUCUGGGCUGACACUGACGCUCAUGCACGAAAGCGUGGGGAGCAAACAGG